This 479-nucleotide ribosomal RNA is filed under the name uncultured bacterium. Its description in RNAcentral is "bacterial SSU rRNA". It matches the Rfam family "Bacterial small subunit ribosomal RNA", at positions 28 to 496 of the family's 1533-position model. The record is from RNAcentral.
GAUGAACGCUAGCUACAGGCUUAACACAUGCAAGUCGAGGGGGCGAGCGCAGUGGUAGCAAUACAUGGGCGGCGACCGGCGCACGGGUGCGUAACGCGUAUCCAACCUUCCCGUUACUCAGGGAUAGCCUUCCGAAAGGGAGAUUAAUACCCUGAUGGUGGUUCAAAUUCCGCAUGUUAUUUGAACUAAAGAUUUAUCGGUAACGGAUGGGGAUGCGUGACAUUAGGUAGAUGGCGGGGUAACGGCCCACCAUGGCGACGAUGUCUAGGGGUUCUGAGAGGAAGGUCCCCCACACUGGAACUGAGACACGGUCCAGACUCCUACGGGAGGCAGCAGUGAGGAAUAUUGGUCAAUGGUCUGACGACUGAACCAGCCAUGCCGCGUGAAGGUCACGGCCCUAUGGGUCUUAAACUUCUUUUGUAAGGGAGCAAUAAGUCUCACGUGUGGGAUGAUGAGAGUACCUUACGAAUAAGCAUCGG